GACGAACGCUGGCGGCGUGCUUAACACAUGCAAGUCGAACGGAAAGGCCCUGCUUGCAGGGUGCUCGAGUGGCGAACGGGUGAGUAACACGUGGGUGAUCUGCCCCUUACUUUGGGAUAAGCCUGGGAAACUGGGUCUAAUACUGGAUAGGACCAUGCUGUAGGUGGUGUGGUGGAAAGAUUAGUUUCGGUAAGGGAUGAGCUCGCGGCCUAUCAGCUUGUUGGUGGGGUAAUGGCCUACCAAGGCGUCGACGGGUAGCCGGCCUGAGAGGGUGGACGGCCACAUUGGGACUGAGAUACGGCCCAGACUCCUACGGGAGGCAGCAGUGGGGAAUAUUGCACAAUGGGCGCAAGCCUGAUGCAGCGACGCCGCGUGGGGGAUGACGGCCUUCGGGUUGUAAACUCCCUUCAGCCAUGACGAAGCCCUUGUGGUGACGGUAGUGGUAGAAGAAGCACCGGCUAACUACGUG
This 469-nucleotide ribosomal RNA is filed under the name uncultured bacterium. RNAcentral describes it as "partial 16S ribosomal RNA". It matches the Rfam family "Bacterial small subunit ribosomal RNA", at positions 28 to 507 of the family's 1533-position model. The record is from RNAcentral.